AUAUUUUCAAUCUUAGUUUAAAUAGGCGCUCACCUGUAUAAUGAGAGGAAUAUUUUCAGUCUUAGUUUAAAUAGGCGCCCACCUGUAUAAUGAGAGGAAUAUUUUCAGUCUUAGUUUAAAUAGGCGCCCACCUGUAUAAUGAGAGGAAUAUUUUCAGUCUUAGUUUAAAUAGGCGCCCACCUGUACAAUGAGAGGAAUAUUUUCAGUCUUAGUUUAAAUAGGCGCCCACCUGUACAAUGAGAGGAAUAUUUUCAUGUCUUAGUUUAAAUAGGCGCCCACCUGUAUAAUGAUAGGAAUAUUUUUAUGUCUUAGUUUAAAUAGGCGCCCACCUGUAUAAUGAGAGGAAUAUUUUCAGUUUUAGUUUAAAUAGGCGCCCACCUGUAUAAUGAGAGGAAUAUUUUCAGUCUUAGUUUAAAUAGGCGCCCACCUGUAUAAUGAGAGGAAUAUUUUAUGUCUUAGUUUAAAUAGGCUCCCACCUGUAUAAUGAGAGGAAUAUUUUCAGUCUUAGUUUAAAUAGGCGCCCACCUGUAUAAUGAGAGGAAUAUUUUCAGUCUUAGUUUAAAUAGGUGCCCACCUGUAUAAUGAGAGGAAUAUUUUCAGUCUUAGUUUAAAUAGGCGCUCACCUGUAUAACGAGAGGAAUACUUUUAUGUCUCAGUUUAAGUAGGCGCCCACCUUUAUAACGAGAGGAAUAUUGUUUUUUUUUAGUCUCAUACUUCAGAUUUUGAGAUCAGUAGCCCACUAGAAGGCAGAAGGUUACAACAGGAACCCCCAGCAGGAAACAAUAAAAAUCCCCGGCACCG
This 801-nucleotide long non-coding RNA is filed under the name Nicotiana tabacum (common tobacco). RNAcentral describes it as "long non-coding RNA (NTAB_LNC000678)". The record is from RNAcentral. Lineage: Eukaryota; Viridiplantae; Streptophyta; Magnoliopsida; Solanales; Solanaceae.